GAGUUCCUACGGGGGGCAGCAGUGGGGAAUAUUGGACAAUGGGGGGAACCCUGAUCCAGCGACGCCGCGUGAGUGAAGAAGUAUUUCGGUAUGUAAAGCUCUAUCAGCAGGGAAGAAAGAAAUGACGGUACCUGACUAAGAAGCCCCGGCUAACUACGUGCCAGCAGCCGCGGUAAUACGUAGGGGGCAAGCGUUAUCCGGAUUUACUGGGUGUAAAGGGAGCGUAGACGGCGAUGCAAGUCUGAAGUGAAAGGCGGGGGCCCAACCACAGGACUGCUUUGGAAACUGUAUGGCGGGAG
This 299-nucleotide ribosomal RNA is filed under the name uncultured bacterium. Its description in RNAcentral is "partial 16S ribosomal RNA". It matches the Rfam family "Bacterial small subunit ribosomal RNA", at positions 333 to 646 of the family's 1533-position model. The record is from RNAcentral.